Molecule: ribosomal RNA, 119 nt
Filed under: Pteropus alecto (black flying fox)
Lineage: Eukaryota; Metazoa; Chordata; Mammalia; Chiroptera; Pteropodidae
Source: RNAcentral
GUCUACGGCCAUGCCACCCUGAACGAGCCCGAUUCUGUCUGAUCUCAGAAGCUAAGCAGGGUUGGGCCUGGUUAGUACUUGGAUGGGAGACCACCUAGGAAGACCAGGUGCUGUAGGUG